AUGCACCGAAGCUGCGGCAGCGACACUGUGUGUUGUUGGGUAGGGGAGCGUUCUGUAAGCCUGUGAAGGUGUGUCGUGAGGCAUGCUGGAGGUAUCAGAAGUGCGAAUGCUGACAUAAGUAACGAUAAAGCGGGUGAAAAGCCCGCUCGCCGGAAGACCAAGGGUUCCUGUCCAACGUUAAUCGGGGCAGGGUGAGUCGACCCCUAAGGCGAGGCCGAAAGGCGUAGUCGAUGGGAAACGGGUUAAUAUUCCCGUACUUGGUGUUACUGCGAAGGGGGGACGGAGAAGGCUAUGUUGGCCGGGCGACGGUUGUCCCGGUUUAAGCGUGUAGGUGUGUGUUCCAGGUAAAUCCGGUUCACUUUAACACUGAGGCGUGACGACGAGGCACUACGGUGCUGAAGCAACAAAUGCCCUGCUUCCAGGAAAAGCCUCUAAGCAUCAGGUAACAUCAAAUCGUACCCCAAACCGACACAGGUGGUCAGGUAGAGAAUACCAAGGCGCUUGAGAGAACUCGGGUGAAGGAACUAGGCAAAAUGGUGCCGUAACUUCGGGAGAAGGCACGCUGACACGUAGGUGAAGUGAUUUACUCAUGGAGCUGAAGUCAGUCGAAGAUACCAGCUGGCUGCAACUGUUUAUUAAAAACACAGCACUGUGCAAACACGAAAGUGGACGUAUACGGUGUGACGCCUGCCCGGUGCCGGAAGGUUAAUUGAUGGGGUCAGCGCAAGCGAAGCUCCUGAUCGAAGCCCCGGUAAACGGCGGCCGUAACUAUAACGGUCCUAAGGUAGCGAAAUUCCUUGUCGGGUAAGUUCCGACCUGCACGAAUGGCGUAAUGAUGGCCAGGCUGUCUCCACCCGAGACUCAGUGAAAUUGAACUCGCUGUGAAGAUGCAGUGUACCCGCGGCAAGACGGAAAGACCCCGUGAACCUUUACUAUAGCUUGACACUGAACAUUGAGCCUUGAUGUGUAGGAUAGGUGGGAGGCUUUGAAGUGUGGACGCCAGUCUGCAUGGAGCCGACCUUGAAAUACCACCCUUUAAUGUUUGAUGUUCUAACGUGGACCCGUUACCCGGGUUGCGGACAGUGUCUGGUGGGUAGUUUGACUGGGGCGGUCUCCUCCUAAAGAGUAACGGAGGAGCACGAAGGUUGGCUAAUCCUGGUCGGACAUCAGGAGGUUAGUGCAAUGGCAUAAGCCAGCUUGACUGCGAGCGUGACGGCGCGAGCAGGUGCGAAAGCAGGUCAUAGUGAUCCGGUGGUUCUGAAUGGAAGGGCCAUCGCUCAACGGAUAAAAGGUACUCCGGGGAUAACAGGCUGAUACCGCCCAAGAGUUCAUAUCGACGGCGGUGUUUGGCACCUCGAUGUCGGCUCAUCACAUCCUGGGGCUGAAGUAGGUCCCAAGGGUAUGGCUGUUCGCCAUUUAAAGUGGUACGCGAGCUGGGUUUAGAACGUCGUGAGACAGUUCGGUCCCUAUCUGCCGUGGGCGCUGGAGAACUGAGGGGGGCUGCUCCUAGUACGAGAGGACCGGAGUGGACGCAUCACUGGUGUUCGGGUUGUCAUGCCAAUGGCACUGCCCGGUAGCUAAAUGCGGAAGAGAUAAGUGCUGAAAGCAUCUAAGCACGAAACUUGCCCCGA
RNAcentral lists this ribosomal RNA (1631 nucleotides) under Salmonella enterica. RNAcentral's name for it is "partial 23S ribosomal RNA". It matches the Rfam family "Bacterial large subunit ribosomal RNA", at positions 1189 to 2802 of the family's 2925-position model. The record is from RNAcentral. Lineage: Bacteria; Pseudomonadati; Pseudomonadota; Gammaproteobacteria; Enterobacterales; Enterobacteriaceae.